UGGCUCAAUGGUAGAGCGUUCGACUCAAAUACCAAAGGUCGUGGGUUCUAAUCCCAG
RNAcentral lists this transfer RNA (57 nucleotides) under Schistocephalus solidus. It matches the Rfam family "tRNA", at positions 8 to 63 of the family's 71-position model. From Rfam's summary of the family: Transfer RNA (tRNA) molecules are approximately 80 nucleotides in length. Their secondary structure includes four short double-helical elements and three loops (D, anti-codon, and T loops). The record is from Rfam by way of RNAcentral. Lineage: Eukaryota; Metazoa; Platyhelminthes; Cestoda; Diphyllobothriidea; Diphyllobothriidae.